Molecule: long non-coding RNA, 3019 nt
Organism: Vicia villosa (hairy vetch)
Lineage: Eukaryota; Viridiplantae; Streptophyta; Magnoliopsida; Fabales; Fabaceae
Exons: 3
Source: RefSeq, a predicted model, not a curated record
UAGCAUGUGACGAGUUCAUUGUGAAAUAAGCUAGGAAAAAUAAUGGCUUUAAAGAAAUGUUCACUAAUUUUUUUAGUUCUUUUUUUCUGUAUGUUGGAUUUUUCAUCCAUGGCAUUAGCAAGGAACAUUAAUGAUGCCUCUCAAAUUUAUUCAUUUUCAGAUAUAAAGGGUUUAAAUAGGAGAGUUCUUGUGAAAGCGAAACGGAGAUCUCCAUGUACGAGGGGAAGAAGUCGUGAAGAGGAAGAGGAGAGAGGUAGCCCACGUUGCCACAAUUUCAAAUCUCUCUAUCCACAUCAAGUAUGGAGACAUAACUAAUUUGUCCUAAAUGUGUAACUGUUUAUCCAGAAAUUCGGUAAACAAACGCUAGUUUCUUUUUUAAAGGUUAUUUUACAGAAUCAACUAGUAAAUCUCAGGACUUAUUGCUAUGUUCUUGUUUCGUGUAACUUUGAUUUGUAUUAAAUGCGGAAGACUUGAAAGUAAAUGAAAGAAAUAACGCAGAAUAUAAAACUUGACUGAAAUAAAGGCACUAAAAGAAAGCAAUAAAUAUAUGUGAAAGACAAACUGGAAUAUUAAAAUGAUUGCAUAAUAAUUAAUCUGGUACGCAUACGUACAUUUCUAGAAAAUUACACUCGUUUCUCAUUUUGUGUGCAGAGAUUGAGUUUUGUCUUUUGUGAUGUAGAAAUGCGGACCCUUAAACUACUGACAUAAAUUUGCUUAAAUAGAAAUUCUGAAACAAACUGUCCUAACAGUCGACUAAUAAUACGUCGCCACGUGUCCCAACCAUGCAACAUUUUCUUUGAGAAGACUCCACGUAUUCUGACGAGAAAACUGUCCAGAACCGUUUCUUUUAACCUCUUAAACUUUCAACUUUGACCCACUAUUUUGACAAAGUUCUCAAUUCUUUUAUAUCGCUAAGUCCCCUUCAGAACAAGAAGAAAUGCUUCCUUAGUCUUCGACUAAACUUGUACUUUCCUUCUCCCAUUAUUUAAAUGCCAACCCAAAAUAGAAAGUCGAAAUCUUAGGGUAACAAAUUGCCCCCCAAAAGGCCACUUUCGACUGAAAAUAGGGAAGGAGAGAAGAUGGCAUUUUGAAUUCGUCAGUAUUUCGACUUUCAAACUCUGCCAACGCCAUAAUUACGUUACAAUUCCCAACACAUUAAUCAUUACCUAAAUCCUAGGUAGUGGGCUAUUAACUGUUUCUCCCACUUCUUUACUUCAUUUUCCAAGACAAUUUUCUGAAACGACGUUUGCUUUCCAAAUCUCACCCCUUGCUGACGUCACACAUAGAAUCUCCCCCUAUAAAAACCUUCCUUCUCCUUAUCUUUCAACCUCAUUUUCUUCUUCUUCGUUUUUUCAGUACCAGUUUUCUUUUUGAUCCUAAAAACUUUCUUACUAUCAACCAUGGCUACCAACACUACCGUUUGCGACACUGGAUCUAACUCAUUGGCGACCAUUAUCUCUCGUGAAGAUGAAGAGAAAGGCUUGGAGUUUGUUCCUCAAACUUUUGCUAAUGAGGCUAAGGUUACCAUUUGGAAAAGCCAAAUGCUAAUACCGUUUCAAGCUGCUGAUAAACUUUUGGCCUUCUCAGGCCCAUACCCAGAUCAUCGCUCACACCCCAAAAUGGUCCAAAAAUUCUUUCCUGCUUUCUCGUCUACCAUGCCUGUAGCAUUUGAAAAGAACCUCCAAUUGGAACUAAAGUUUAUGGAUCCUUCUAUGAGAGUUUUUCGUUCGACUCCUCCUCCAGGCAACAAAGAUUUUCUAGCUUGGCUUGACAAAGUUCAAGCAAAAAAACAACAAAUGUGGGAAGAAUUGAGAAUCUUCGACGCUAUUUAGCUGUCAAGGACUACUCACAGGGUGAACCUUGCAUGCUGCUUGCCUCAAUCUUCUUCUAGGAGGGUUCAACCAACACCUUCCACUUCCCUUGUGGGAUGAUGACUCCCACUCUCUUCGACGUGGCUGCCAUUACAGGACUUUCGCCUUUGGGGGAAGUCUUCGACCCCACUCUUUCGACUCAAAUGGAAUUUAAUUUCAGCAUUGCCACUAUAACCAAGUACAUCCAGGAUCACCAAGAUAAGGAUUCGGAUGAAGUCUCUGACGAGGAGCAUGUGGCUUUCUUCACUUAUUGGUUAUCAUAUUAUUUAUUCUGCCUUGGAUCUCUCCAGAUUGCCAAAGCCUACAUUCCUAUGGCGAUUCAGAUUCAUGAAGGUAACGUAAAAUAAAUAAAAUUAAAAAUUAAAAACCUUAGCAGGUUGACCGGUGGAUAUAGAUAAAGAUAAAGAGAAAAACAAACCAAAAGCUCAGAAGAAAAAAAAUAGAAACCCUAAAAAAAAUCAAAAAGUUCCUGUGUGAGAUUGUGUUGUUAAUGCAUCUAAAUUUUUUCCUUCUUUGUACAAAGAUUGUUGUUCAAGCUUUUCACCUAUAGGUAGGUUUAGUUUAGUUUUGUUCCGAUGGUUGAUUUAGACAAUGUUUCUACACCUUCAGGAGGAUCAGCUAGCAUCUCUUCCUCCGGUAACAAUAAUAACAAUAACCAUAACAACCAAACAACCCCUCCAAACCCCACUAAGAAAAAACGAAACCUCCCAGAAAUGCCAGAUCCGGAAGCAUAGGUGAUAGCUUUGUCUCCGACUACUCUGUUAGCGACGAAUAGAUUUGUGUGUGAAAUAUGCAACAAAGGUUUUCAGAGGGAUCAGAAUCUUCAACUUCAUAGGAGAGAUCAUAACCUGCCGUGGAAACUGAGGCAGAGGUCGAGUAAGGAAGUUAGGAAGAGGGUUUAUGUUUGUCCGGAACCGAUCUGUGUUCAUCAUUAUCCUUCUAGAGCUUUCGGCGAUCUAACGGGAAUUAAAAAACACUUUUAUAGAUUUUUUUUUGGUAAUUAAUAUUAUUAUGAAUCGAAAUACAUGAAUAAGAAUGUUGUUUAUAAAAACAUUAAUAUAUCAUUGAGAAUAUGAAGAAAUUAAAAAACAAAUUAAUAUUUCAUUAAUAUGAAGAGAUCAAUAAUUUAACACAAGUAAAUGUUUCAA